This 72-nucleotide transfer RNA is filed under the name Marmota monax (woodchuck). RNAcentral describes it as "tRNA.Val". Lineage: Eukaryota; Metazoa; Chordata; Mammalia; Rodentia; Sciuridae. The record is from RNAcentral.
GGGGGUGUGGCUCAGCGAUAGAUUGCUCAUCUGACAUGUGUGAGGCCCUGGGUUCGAUCCUCAGUACCACAU